GGGUCCAUAGCUCAGUGGUAGAGCAUUUGACUGCAGAUCAAGAGGUCAUCGGUUUGAACUCGAUUGGGCCCU
This 72-nucleotide transfer RNA is filed under the name Ipomoea nil (Japanese morning glory). It matches the Rfam family "tRNA". Rfam says of the family: Transfer RNA (tRNA) molecules are approximately 80 nucleotides in length. Their secondary structure includes four short double-helical elements and three loops (D, anti-codon, and T loops). Further hydrogen bonds mediate the characteristic L-shaped molecular structure. tRNAs have two regions of fundamental functional importance: the anti-codon, which is responsible for specific mRNA codon recognition, and the 3' end, to which the tRNAs corresponding amino acid is attached (by aminoacyl-tRNA synthetases). tRNAs cope with the degeneracy of the genetic code in two manners: having more than one tRNA (with a specific anti-codon) for a particular amino acid; and 'wobble' base-pairing, i.e. permitting non-standard base-pairing at the 3rd anti-codon position. Lineage: Eukaryota; Viridiplantae; Streptophyta; Magnoliopsida; Solanales; Convolvulaceae. The record is from Rfam by way of RNAcentral.